RNAcentral lists this unclassified non-coding RNA (240 nucleotides) under Hevea brasiliensis (rubber tree). The record is from RNAcentral. Lineage: Eukaryota; Viridiplantae; Streptophyta; Magnoliopsida; Malpighiales; Euphorbiaceae.
UAGGUCCACCAAACUGCAUAACAUGAUGACCUGGUAUAGCAUACCCCUGCACUGUUGUAUAACCAUGACCUCCGGGAAGGGUUUGACCCAACUGUCCAUAAGGAUAAAUUGCUGUGUUGACUGUUCCAGGUACACCAUAUAUCUGAAGGUACUGCUGACCCGCAUAAGGGUUGUAGACACCCUGCGGGUAGACACACUCAGGUCCAUAUGCUGCAUAUCCAUAUGGAUGAUACAUCAAUC